RNAcentral lists this ribosomal RNA (466 nucleotides) under uncultured bacterium. RNAcentral's name for it is "bacterial SSU rRNA". It matches the Rfam family "Bacterial small subunit ribosomal RNA", at positions 28 to 507 of the family's 1533-position model. The record is from RNAcentral.
GACGAACGCUGGCGGCGUGCUUAACACAUGCAAGUCGAACGGACUUUACAUGAAGCCUAGCGAUUGUAAGGUUAGUGGCGGACGGGUGAGUAACGCGUGAAUAACCUGCCUUAUACUGGGGGACAACAGUUGGAAACGACUGCUAAUACCGCAUAAGCGCACAGUUCUACAUGGAACAGUGUGAAAAACUCCGGUGGUAUAAGAUGGAUUCGCGUCUGAUUAGCUAGUUGGUGAGGUAACGGCUCACCAAGGCGACGAUCAGUAGCCGGCCUGAGAGGGUGAACGGCCACAUUGGGACUGAGACACGGCCCAAACUCCUACGGGAGGCAGCAGUGGGGAAUAUUGCACAAUGGGGGAAACCCUGAUGCAGCGACGCCGCGUGAGUGAAGAGGUAUUCGGUAUGUAAAGCUCUAUCAGCAGGGAAGAAAAUGACGGUACCUGACUAAGAAGCCCCGGNUAACACGUG